CCACCCGUGUUUAUUAUACCUUGUUGCUUCGGCGGGCCCGCCGUAAGGCCGCCGGGGGGCUUCUGCCCCCGGGCCCGCGCCCGCCGAAGACAUCUCGAACUCUGUCUGAAGAUUGUAGUCUGAGUAUAAAUAUAAAUUAUUUAAAACUUUCAACAACGGAUCUCUUGGUUCCGGCAUCGAUGAAGAACGCAGCGAAAUGCGAUACGUAAUGUGAAUUGCAGAAUUCAGUGAAUCAUCGAGUCUUUGAACGCACAUUGCGCCCUCUGGUAUUCCGGAGGGCAUGCCUGUCCGAGCGUCAUUGCUGCCCUCAAGCACGGCUUGUGUGUUGGGCCCCGUCCUCCGAUCCCGGGGGACGGGCCCGAAAGGCAGCGGCGGCACCGCGUCCGGUCCUCGAGCGUAUGGGGCUUUGUCACCCGCUCUGUAGGCCCGGCCGGCGCUUGCCGAUCAACCUAAAU
Molecule: ribosomal RNA, 455 nt
Filed under: Penicillium sp. GBPI_P66
Lineage: Eukaryota; Fungi; Ascomycota; Eurotiomycetes; Eurotiales; Aspergillaceae
Description: eukaryotic LSU rRNA
Rfam family: 5.8S ribosomal RNA (bases 145-298)
Source: RNAcentral